This 435-nucleotide ribosomal RNA is filed under the name uncultured bacterium. RNAcentral describes it as "partial 16S ribosomal RNA". It matches the Rfam family "Bacterial small subunit ribosomal RNA", at positions 29 to 507 of the family's 1533-position model. The record is from RNAcentral.
AGCGAACGCUGGCGGCAGGCUUAACACAUGCAAGUCGAACGGGCAUAGCAAUAUGUCAGUGGCAGACGGGUGAGUAACGCGUGGGAACGUACCUUUUGGUUCGGAACAACACAGGGAAACUUGUGCUAAUACCGGAUAAGCCCUUACGGGGAAAGAUUUAUCGCCGAAAGAUCGGCCCGCGUCUGAUUAGCUAGUUGGUAGGGUAAUGGCCUACAAAGGCGACGAUCAGUAGCUGGUCUGAGAGGAUGAUCAGCCACAUUGGGACUGAGACACGGCCCAAACUCCUACGGGAGGCAGCAGUGGGGAAUAUUGGACAAUGGGCGAAAGCCUGAUCCAGCCAUGCCGCGUGAGUGAUGAAGGCCCUAGGGUUGUAAAGCUCUUUUGUGCGGGAAGAUAAUGACGGUACCGCAAGAAUAAGCCCCGGCUAACUUCGUG